AUUGGAGAAGCGAAAUCUAUAAUUUGGAUUCCGAAAUAGGCAAAUGAAUGCGUAUAAAUGGUGAACUUAGUGGCGCCGAGGGAAACUGGGCAGAGAUCAUUCGGUCUUGUGUAGAAGCAUAUUGUGUACAAAGCCAUCUCCAACUCAGAUAAGGAUCCACGUGACGUUCCAUGUAAUGUUCCACGUGAUCUUCCAUGUGUUGAUCCAUGAAAUGAUCCUUUACCGAAACUUAUUUUACUGCCAAACUUAUAUUUUGCGCUAGUACCAUCUAUAAAAAGUAUAUAUGUAACAGAUUAGUAAUAAAAAUAUUGUGUAAAAAAAUAAUCAGACUAUACUUACAGAUUACAAAAAAUACGCAAAUAAAUAUAAGAAAAUACGUCUUGAAUUUCAUUAUUACAGCUUUCCUUAAGAUCAUACUACAUAAUAAGGGGUCAUUGCUAAUGACCUCAGAGAGAUAUGGACAUCUCUGGUAGUGAGAACAACAUUUCUUAACAAGUUUUUAUUUGAUCUCAUUAACAACCUCCACCAGAAAAUACAUAUUUUUUAUAGAAACAUUAAAUUAUAAAACAAGUUUUGUAAACUCUUUUGUACUUUAAACUUAGUAAUGUAACAAUAUACUAAUAAAAAAGUUUUGUGUUAGAAAACAAUUCAUGUUGAUCGUUAUAUUAUAUGUAGAGACGACGAACUUUUUCCCCGCCACGAAUUGAACAAACUACUCUUUUAUUCAGAAUUAGAAAAAUAUGUACAAAACUACAGAGUCUUAGUAACUUAUACUGUGUAAAGUUGUAGAGUGUAAGAGUUAAAUGGAUAUGGGUGGAAUCGCUUUUACAUGGCUCUGCAAGGCAAGAGCUAUAUGCAGCAUGAGAACCAGUGCAUUGUCUCUGUUAUAUAACAUAUUUUUUCUAAAAUAUUGAAGUGGUAUUAAUACAGUCUCUCAAAUUUAUAGAAAUACUGAGAUAAAAUAUUGUCUUUUUAUAAAAGAUAUAGCUUCAAUAGCUUCAAAGUAUUAUCUUAAUUGUUUAUCCUUCUUUUUUAAUAUAUCUAUCCAAAAUUGCUUCACUAGGAUAAUCUGGAACUGAUAAUUGGCGAAAUGCUUCAUCAUCCACAAAGCAAA
Molecule: long non-coding RNA, 1114 nt
Organism: Bombus huntii
Lineage: Eukaryota; Metazoa; Arthropoda; Insecta; Hymenoptera; Apidae
Exons: 3
Source: RefSeq, a predicted model, not a curated record